RNAcentral lists this long non-coding RNA (760 nucleotides) under Erythranthe guttata (spotted monkey flower). RNAcentral describes it as "long non-coding RNA (EGUT_LNC002763)". Lineage: Eukaryota; Viridiplantae; Streptophyta; Magnoliopsida; Lamiales; Phrymaceae. The record is from RNAcentral.
GCAGGUUCUGAAGAAAAGAAAACACAACAUAUAUAUAUAAGAAAAAAAAAAAAGUAAUAAAUGUUUCAAACUGAAAAAUAAAAAGGUUUAAAUUUAAAAUCUGUAGCAAUAAAUCCGAUCGAGCUUUUCCAUCUUCGGUCGGGAUCAAGGAUGCGGCGGCGUAAAACAACACUGUUCACACACGGGAGGAGUCUUCUCUAUGUUGCAGUUGCAACACGCAACGUCACAAUUGUUUACGCAUGCUAUAUAUAUAUAAACAAAACAAAUUAUUAAAUACUAAUCAGUUAAUUAACAUGUACAGUUAAAUCUCUAUAAAUUAAAACAUUCAGGACUAGAGAAAUUCUAUUAAUUUAGCGAAUUAUUAAAUUAUCGAUUUAAUAAUUUAACACGUUUUCACCAAGCUUCAGAACCGAGAGAAACUAUUAUUUAAUCAAAAUUAUUAAUUUAUCGAGGUUCUAGGUUCUACUGUGUUAGUAAUAUUAAGAAGAGAAAGAAAGAGAUUAUUAAUUUAUCGAGCAUUAAUUUAUUGAGUUUCUAGGUUCUAUUGUAUUAAUAACAUUAAGAGAGAGAGAGAGAGAGAGAGAGAGAGAGAGAGAGAGAGAGAGUACACGUACGAUGUACGGUGACAAUUACUUUAGAAGAUGAAACGUCGUUAUUGUUGAUCAUCAACGGAACACUCAUCAACGGAACACGAGCCACGUUAACGGCGUCGAUCUUGAAAAGUGUAGCAAGAAAAAGAAUUACAACUAGCAUUGUUGUA